Molecule: ribosomal RNA, 235 nt
Filed under: uncultured bacterium
Lineage: Bacteria
Description: partial 16S ribosomal RNA
Rfam family: Bacterial small subunit ribosomal RNA
Source: RNAcentral
UGAGCAAUCUGCCCUUCUCUUCGGAAUAAGCGUGGGAAACCGCGUCUAAUGCCGAAUACGACCUCCUUUCGCAUGAUCGGAGGUGGAAAGCUCCGGCGGAGAAGGAUGAGCUCGCGGCCUAUCAGCUAGUUGGUGUGGGUAAUGGCCCACCAAGGCGACGACGGGUAGCCGGCCUGAGAGGGCGACCGGCCACACUGGGACUGAGACACGGCCCAGACUCCUACGGGAGGNAGCG